Molecule: transfer RNA, 76 nt
Filed under: Candidatus Peregrinibacteria bacterium
Lineage: Bacteria; Candidatus Peregrinibacteriota
Description: tRNA-Lys
Rfam family: tRNA
About the family: Transfer RNA (tRNA) molecules are approximately 80 nucleotides in length. Their secondary structure includes four short double-helical elements and three loops (D, anti-codon, and T loops).
Source: RNAcentral
GGGUCAUUAGCUCAGUUGGUAGAGCAACUGCCUCUUAAGCAGAAGGUCCCGGGUUCGAAUCCCGGAUGACCCACCA